AGCGAACGCUGGCGGCAGGCCUAACACAUGCAAGUCGAACGAACUCUUCGGAGUUAGUGGCGGACGGGUGAGUAACACGUGGGAACGUGCCUUUAGGUUCGGAAUAACUCAGGGAAACUUGUGCUAAUACCGAAUGUGCCCUUCGGGGGAAAGAUUUAUCGCCUUUAGAGCGGCCCGCGUCUGAUUAGCUAGUUGGUGAGGUAAAGGCUCAACAAGGCGACGAUCAGUAGCUGGUCUGAGAGGAUGAUCAGCCACAUUGGGACUGAGACACGGCCCAAACUCCUACGGGAGGCAGCAGUGGGGGAUCUUGCGCAAUGGGCGAAAGCCUGACGCAGCCAUGCCGCGUGAAUGAUGAAGGUCUUAGGAUUGUAAAAUUCUUUCACCGGGGACGAUAAUGACGGUACCCGGAGAAGAAGCCCCGGCUAACUUCGUG
RNAcentral lists this ribosomal RNA (433 nucleotides) under uncultured bacterium. Its description in RNAcentral is "partial 16S ribosomal RNA". It matches the Rfam family "Bacterial small subunit ribosomal RNA", at positions 29 to 507 of the family's 1533-position model. The record is from RNAcentral.